ACAAAGAGCUACCAGCCCGCAGAUAAUGCUGUGCGGAGCUGCUCUCGCUGCUCCCACUGCUCCCACGAUGCACUGCUUAUAGCAGCUGUCAAAGAUACUGAGGGAUCCUCGGUGGAAAAAAGACUUUUACAACUGCCUGAAAGAAAGGGGUGUGAGGGAGGAGACAUUUCUGUGCACAGCAGACCAAAGGAAAGAGUAGGCAUCAGUGCAGUAUGAAUGCAUACCUCACCAAGCAACACAGCUGCAGCCGGGGGUCCGAUGGGAUGGAUGCCGGCAGGAGCGCGCCCACCCUGAUCAGGGAUGCCCACUGCGCUUGUGGCUGGCAGAGGAACUCUCAGGGGCUCGGGUACAGUUCUCAGACCAUGCCCUCCUCAGGACCAGGGGGCCCAGCUUCAAACAGGACCGGGGGGUCCAGCUUCAACAGGACCUUGUGGGACAGUGUGCGGAAAAGCCCCCACAAGACGAGCACCAAGGGCAAAGGGACUUGUGGGGAGCAUUGUACCUGCCCACAUGGUUGGUUCAGCCCAGCACAGGCCAGUCCUGCUCCUAUAAUUGUCAACACAGAUACUUUGGACACAAUUCCUUAUGUCAAUGGGACAGAAAUUGAAUAUGAAUUUGAAGAAAUUACACUGGAGAGGGGGAAUUCUGGCCUGGGAUUCAGUAUUGCUGGGGGGACAGAUAAUCCCCACAUUGGAGAUGACCCUGGCAUAUUUAUUACGAAGAUUAUACCAGGAGGUGCUGCAGCAGAGGAUGGCAGACUCAGGGUCAAUGAUUGUAUCUUGCGGGUGAAUGAGGUUGAUGUGUCAGAGGUUUCCCACAGUAAAGCGGUGGAAGCCCUCAAGGAAGCGGGGUCUAUCGUUCGGCUGUAUGUGCGUAGAAGACGACCUAUUUUGGAGACCGUUGUGGAAAUCAAACUGUUCAAAGGCCCUAAAGGUUUAGGCUUCAGUAUUGCAGGAGGUGUGGGGAACCAACACAUUCCUGGAGACAACAGCAUUUAUGUAACUAAAAUUAUAGAUGGAGGAGCUGCACAAAAAGAUGGAAGGUUGCAAGUAGGAGAUAGACUACUAAUGGUAAACAACUACAGUUUAGAAGAAGUAACACAUGAAGAGGCAGUAGCAAUAUUAAAGAACACAUCAGAGGUAGUUUAUUUAAAAGUUGGCAAACCCACUACCAUUUAUAUGACUGAUCCUUAUGGUCCACCUGAUAUUACUCACUCUUAUUCUCCACCAAUGGAAAACCAUCUACUCUCUGGCAACAAUGGCACUUUAGAAUAUAAAACCUCCCUGCCACCCAUCUCUCCAGGAAGGUACUCACCAAUUCCAAAGCACAUGCUUGUUGACGACGACUACACCAGGCCUCCGGAACCUGUUUACAGCACUGUGAACAAACUAUGUGAUAAGCCUGCUUCUCCCAGGCACUAUUCCCCCGUUGAGUGUGACAAAAGCUUCCUCCUCUCAGCUCCCUAUUCCCACUACCACCUAGGCCUGCUACCUGACUCUGAGAUGACCAGUCAUUCCCAACAUAGCACCGCAACUCGUCAGCCUUCAGUGACUCUCCAACGGGCCAUCUCCCUGGAAGGAGAGCCUCGCAAGGUGGUCCUGCACAAAGGCUCCACUGGCCUGGGCUUCAACAUUGUCGGUGGGGAAGAUGGAGAAGGUAUUUUUGUAUCCUUCAUUCUGGCUGGUGGACCAGCAGACCUAAGUGGGGAGCUCCAGAGAGGAGACCAGAUCCUAUCGGUGAAUGGCAUUGACCUCCGUGGUGCAUCCCACGAACAGGCAGCUGCUGCACUAAAGGGGGCUGGACAGACAGUGACGAUUAUAGCACAAUAUCAACCUGAAGGUCAGUCAGAACUCGAACUAAUAAUGUUCUGAUAUGUCUCUGUGUGGAUCUGUACCCUCAUUACUAAUAAUUCAUAUUAACUAGAGUCACCAUCAUUGGUGUUUUGUAAACCUACCUAUAGUGAAAAUUGAUGGUUCACGUCCAAAGAAUGUGAACCGUGGCUUUGUUACCUCUAAUCUUCCAGGAAAAUAUCAGGCAGUUAGAAAGGCCUAUGAAAAUAUGAAUUCAAAUAAAUAGCAACCAGCAUCAACUUUAUUUCAUUAUAUUCUUAUGUGGUAUACACUUUCAGUCACCAAUGGAUACAGUAAAAACAGUUAAGACUUAAGAAGCAAAAGGGAGAGAUUUCAUCUACAGAAAUAGACCAGAAGACCAUAUUCUCUCCUCAUGACAUUAACUUAAUUCUCAUUAACACUAACAUGGCUUUUGGAGGUCCUUGAUUGAUUUUUUUUUUUGUUUUUGCCUUUACUCCUACAAUAUCCCUUGUUUGAAAUAAAUCACUGUAAACCAUGAGAUCAAAUAAAUUGGAUUAGCCAACUUAAACUUGAUGAGAUAUCCUAAAUUGGAUUAUCCAUGCCCUGCUCUUUGGUUUAUUUAAACGUCUGUUUCUGUGUUUAAAAUGAGGCUGAAUGAGACAACUGGGAUGUUACUUAUUGCAUGGUUGAUUUCUUAGAAAAUUCAUAUAUAGGUUGCUCCUUUGGAAAUGAAACAUACUUAAUGUAAGCACACAAUUAUGGGUCAGAUCUUGUUAUUAAAAAAAGAAAGGAAUAUGGCUACUGUCUUCAAGAAAUGAAGUGCAUUGCUUUUGAUCCAUAUGGCUAGCAAAGAGGAGUAUUAAACAGCUGAACAUGAGAGUAUAAGAUGUCAUCAAGGAAGAGCCUCUGUGCAUAUGAGUAUUAGGAGCUUCUUUUCAAGUGAUGAUUUGUUAGCAUCAAUGGGUCUAUUGUUGUUUGGAAGACUGAGGUUUGUGUCUUGCCUGUGACAGCUUAGAUCUUACCAUUAAUGGUGGCCAAUCACAUGGUCUGCCCAUGAAUAAAGAAAAUAUUUUCUUCCAUGCAUGUUUUGACAUGUUACUUUCAGUUGUGCCUGGCUUUAGAAUUAGAAUUUGAAAUUAAUUUAUUCAAAUUUUUUAAUUAAUGAUUUUUCCUGUGUGGACUAGGCCAGAUAUAGCCAGAGAGUGGGGAAGAAGAGAUUUGUGAUGGUCGCAGAUGGAUGAUGACAACACCAAGGAAACAUUCUCUUCUCAGAUAGUUUUGAGUAGUCUUUCUAUUUGUUAAAUAUUAGUAGACUUGUAUUUCAGUAGGGACAAAUGCUUUAAAAAGUAUCCAUUAUAGGCCAGGUGUGGUGGCUUACGCCUGUAAUCCCAGCACUUUGGGAGGCUGAGACGGGCGGAUCACAAGGUCAGGAGAUCGAGACCAUCCUGGCUAACACGGUGAAACCCCGUCUCUGCGAAAAAUACAAAAAAUUAGCUGGGUGUGGUUGCUGGCACCUGUAGUCCUAGCUACUUGGGAGGCUGAGGCAGGAGAAUGGCAUGAACCCAGGAGGUGGAGCUUGCAGUGAGCCGAGACCGUGGCACUGCACUCUGGCCUGGGUGACAGAGCAAGACUCCAUCUCAAAAAAAAAAAGUAUCCAUUAUAAAGCUGAAAAUUAAAAGAUAUAUGCUGGCAUCAUUUGAUUAACAAGUUCUACUUCAUAUAGAGUAAGAACUUUUUCAUCGGAAUCUUCCAUUUUCUUAAUAGCUGUUUUUUUCAGUCUCAAACUGCAUACCCUUCACCAUCACCUGACAUUGCAGCAUAAAUGUCUCCAUUUUCCUGUUUCUGAAAAAUCCAUCUCAAACAAUUCUGCAGACGAUAAGAUGGUUAGAAUCAUAGAUAAACAAUUAGAAGCUCUCAACAAAUGAUUUCAAGCUUUAAAGUUUACAAAAAAGGACAAACAUGUCCCUGUUCUGUCAAUGUAAAUCUUCAUCUUUCUACUGGAGCUUCCUUACAUCUUGGUUUCCUUUAAGCAAUAGGUUUAAUUUGGUUACUAUGCUGUAGUUUAUCAAGAUGCUUGUUCAAAGCAUGUCCUAUAAAUAUACAAAUUGAUUUUUAAAGUGCUUGUAAAGAAACCUGCAAAUAACAACAAGUUUUUUACAAAAUGCCAAAGUACAGAUUGGAUUCACAGAAUGACUUCUCUGUUUUAAUAGCCUAACUGUAUACUAAUUUGUUGCAGCUUUAAAUUAGAUGGAAAUGUGGUAAUGGCAACAUCAAGCAAUCAGAUUUCUUUCCUCUCCUAUCCAAACUUUAUGUGUAACUGAGCCUUAAUUUAACUGCAGUUUUCAAUGAAAAAUUGAUGAAUUGUUGUUUAGAGACAUUUAAAUUGUACAACAGUUUUAGGAAAUAAUGAAUAAUUUACCUUUAAAAUAACAAAUGAAAUGAAGAGUGCCUCAUGGGAUUCCAUUAGGAAAUUCUCACCAAGUCCCCUUUAUCUGCACCCAUAUUGUGAGUCGUUCAACCCUUAAGACAGUGCUGAGAGAUGAUUUUACUGGCAUAUCUUUUAGUAUGGUCAAGAAUUAGGCUUUCAGUAAAUACAUUUUUCAGUCAUAAUCAAAUGCUUUAUCAAAAAUUUCCUAAAUGUAUUUCUCAGUAUUAUCAGACGCUCAGAAAAAUCUGCCCCUAACCUUAAGUAAUAAGCAUAGUCUUUGUCUUCAAGGAUUUUUUUAAUCUAGUUGAGGAAAAGAGAUUUUUAUACAUUUAACAGGGUAUAGUUCCUGGUAACAUAUGAUCAAAUUGAAUGAUCCUAGCAGCAGUAUUUCUAAGAAUUAUGGAAUGUCAGAGAAAGGAUAAGCCUGAAGGAGUCAGGACAGUGCAAGAGUGCACCAUGGAAAUGUGGAAAUGGAGCCAGACCUUGAAAAAUGGGUGAAAUUUCUAUUCAGGAGUGGAGGGAGAAAGAAUAUCUUGCUAAACUACAAAAUUCUGAGUUCCAUGCACGCGGACACCAUACGUAUAUUUUGUUCACUGAUAGCUCUAUCUCUGGUGUCCUACUUAGUAUUUCUUAAAGAGUUGAUGAACUAGUGGAUAAAAGCCUACCAUUCCUCAGUUCUUGAGUUUUCACUUGAAGGUAAUUAAAGGUUGAAGGGAUUCUUCAUUUUCACUACUUGCGCUUUUCAUUUUUGCUUCAAAGACAUAAAGGAAUUCUAAAAAAAUGUGUAUUGCAAAAUAUAAAACUAUUUCCAACUGUGUUCCUCAUAGUGCUUAGCAUAUUUUUGUGAUAAUUAUAAAUAAUUUAUAAAAUGUGUAAUUAUCAUAAUGUAGCAGUAAAUGUCUUCUUUGGCAAGUUUCACUUCACAAAGCGAGAUCACAAUUAUACUCACUUCUGCUUAAAAUGAGCUUGUCUCCAGUUGUCCACAUUGCUCUAUCCAUCCUCAAUCUUAUUCAAUGUCUGGUUCAUGGUAGUAGAAUUGACACCAAUUUGAAGAGUCAUAUACGAUGUUUUUCUCCGGUGGUGUGAUUGUGAUUCAUUUUUGCCAUCUUUUAAAAUUCAAUUUUAUCAUGCACUUACUGUGAAGUUAACAUGUAUUACUUUCAUAAGAAGAGGAAAAUAAUGAAGUUGUUGUUUUUCUUUCUUUCAAGAGGAUUACAUAUGUUGUACUUCAAUAAUAAUUCCAUUUAAGCACUACGCAAAGUUAAUUAUUGUAAAACCUUUAAUUACCUAUAUCCAGUUAGUGAAGUUACUGUAAUGCCACUUCAAACAAGGAAAUAUAAUGCCUUACACAGAUGUGCACCCACAGGUACCCCUUCCCUUUCCUUACCCUUCCCAGACACCUUCCCCUUUGAUUUCAGAAUUAUCUUUCUAAGAGAUAUGACACCAAGAUGCCUGUGCACUAACUCCUUGUCCUUCACAAUAUAUUCCCAGCCAACUUCGGUGCUCCAUUCCCCACUCACCCCUCCACCACCCACAGUAUCAGCCUUUCUCAUUGUUCCCCUGCUACACAGGACUACUCUCUGCUGUUACACUUGUUCCUGAACUAUGCCUUUGCUCUGUGGAAUCCUCUACCCAGAAUUGCCUUUCUCCCUUUCCACCUGCAGGAUUCCUACUCAUCUUGAGAGCUCUCAGAUGUCAAUUCCACUACAAAGCCAUUUUUAAUCUGCUUAGUCAGCAUUAAUUGAUUCUUUAUCUGAGUUCCCCAGAACUGUAUGUAAACACCUGGUGUGCCCAUUAUCACAGUUUGCACACCUCUCCACUUGAGUGAGCUCCUAGACAGCACUAGGAGCUGUGAUAGACCCUUCUAUCACUCAUUUUAUAUCUCGUGUUAAUCCAUUCAAUAUGAAUUUGACUAUGGUUUAUUAAUGAGUUAUUGAAUGGGUUGGGUCUGCUUUUAAUUUAAAUGCAAUAUAAUGUUUUCAGUGUGUUGACAUAUAUUAAUAGUAGGUGCUUAAGAAAUAUUUGCUGAGUAAAUAUUGAAGGAAUGGCAUAGGGUUUUUAUAUUAGAUGCAGAGAUGGUAAUUGAAUCCCUGGUUUGGACAUUCGAUGUUGACAGUUUUUAGACGGUGCCUUUUGGUUUUCAGUUAUAAAACCUUUAGUAACCCUAGUAGAUAAACUCCAUUUCCCCUGCAUUGCAGAAAAUCUACAGCUGUUGUUUUGAAAUAUAGCACAAAGACAAGAUGAUUAAAGCACUAACAUUUUUUGCAAGUUCUGAAACUCAACUUUGACACCAUUGAUGAAUAAAAAGGGAAUUGAUUACAACCUAAUUAUACAUUUUUCAAAAAAGAUAACACAGCAUUUCCCUAAGUCAGAUCAGGGCAAAUCUGAUAUGUAUUUGCUGCCUUCUUUCUAAUAAUAUCUACAUUUAUUGUGAGAUAAGUGAUUAGGUUUGAAAUAAUAAGCCACAGACAUCCACUUGGAGAACUAGGUAGGCAGUAGCUAGUAUUGGAUAAAGCUCAAAAUGGAGUUAAGAGCCAAGUGGUCCCUGUGAGAACCACAAAUUCUUUUGCCUUGAAUAUGACUUCUCAGUCUCUCACAUUGUUGGAGAGACUGCAAGGAUUUCAGAAUGGCCUGCAGGUAGAAAAGAAGUCGUGGAUCGUGCAGUCCUUACCAGUGAUCAGGAACUUCGGUAGAUAGUGAAGGGACCUGAUUUCAUUCACCCAUUAUUCUUUAAUAAGGUACUUGAGUUAAAAGAAAAGCCCAAAGAGCAGAGUUGAUAAUUGCCUGGAGACUCGUAAGUGUAGUCUGGUUUAUGGAAUUGUGGCAGAGUGACUACAUGGUUCAUUUAUUCAUUUAUACAUUCAUUCAAUCAAUAGGUAUUUUUUUCUGGAUACUUAUUAUGCCUCAGUCCAUGUUAUAAGGAAAUAACAAAGCAGUGAACCAAAAAACCUCUCUCAAAUAAAUGUAAAAUAUGUCAGAUGGUGAUGAGUAGUAUAAAGAAAGAAGAAGCAGGAGAAAGAUGAUAGUGACAGAGAAAUAUAUAAUAGGCAAGGAAAGCCAUGCUAAUAAGGUGAUAUUUGAACAAAGAUCUAAAAGAAAUGAGGGAGUAAGCUAUGCAGACAUCUGAAGGAAGAAAUGAAUUAUUCUAGAGUUUUGUUCUACUAAAUGUUGUCUACAGACCAAAAGCAUAGAUAUUAAAUGAGAGCCUUCUUAGAAUUGUAAGAUCUCAGGUCUCAACCCAACCCUACUGAAUCAGAAUCUGCAUUUUAUCAAGAUUCCCCAGAGAACUUGUAUGCACAUUAGAGUUUGUGAGGCGUUGCCCUAACAUACUUGGAGACCCUGCAAAAAUUGUCACUUGUCACUGUUGGGUUGGACUCCCUCUACCUGGAGAACUGGGCAAAGUCACAUGAGGCUGCAUCACUAGAUUUGAUUUCUGGCAUGUGUCACCCAAUGAUUGGUCAUGGCUCAGUGGUUUUUGUAGGGAUAGGUCAAACUGCAGGAGAUCUAAGAAGUUCAUGUGCCAUUUAGCUCUACUUUGUCUACCCCGACCAUCUAAAUACCAAUAUCAAGCAAAUUCAUAAGUCUUGCUAGAACUCCUCAGCUAGUGAGACAAUGAACCUAUUCGGGCUUCAUUGCCUUUAGUUAUGACCUCUUCAGCAAGUGAGUUUAGAAGCGGUGAGUUGGGAUGAAGUAACAUUGACUCCUAUCCUCACAGAUGACUCUAUGAACCAAGGGAAAGUCAUUAAGGCUUCACUAUAAAAUUUGAAUAACUUACCACACUUUAAUGCAGAAACUCAUGUAAAUAAUCUAUUUCACUGCUUUUAAGUUGUGAGGCUAAUUCAGAAGGAAAACUAUUUCUUCUUUUCAGCAAUAAGUGAAACUCUGAUGUUAUUUGGGGUAACCACUGUCACAGAGCUUAAACCACAGUUGGACACCACGGUGCAUUUCUCUAUGGGGUCAAAGAUAUAAUGAAAGCUUGGCAUGAAUAUGCAAUUUAUCCCCUGAAAAAUAUAGACACCUUCUGUACCUGAAGGUUCUCAGAAAUGAAAGUACGUACGCCAUCCAAGAAGCAUACUUACAAUGCAAGACAUAUUUCUUUCUUUAAAUCAACAUCUAUGUAGGCUUAUGCAUAUGAAUGAGCAGCUGCAGCAUGUUGAAACAUUUUCCCAACUCACGUAACUGCAUCGCAAAUACCCAGGAAAGAUUUUUAAAGUCCAGCUGUGGAUCUUGAUCAGAAAUUGCGUCAAAAUCAUCAGAGAACAUUUAAGAUAAGCUUUCAGAACAGAAAGUACCAUACCGACUUGGACUGGACAAGACCAGUUUUCUAGUGCAAAUUCCAACUCAGGUGAGAUAGAAGCAUAAGUUUCAUACUUGAAUGUUUUGUCACUAACAUUACAUCUUUUCUUUGCAUUUUUAAUACACAAGGAGAAACGAAUGCACAACCUCGUUACCUUGAUAGAUUCUAUGCAGUUUAACUAGAAUCACUAAGAAAUAGAAUUUAAAAGUUUUAAGAAUCCUUAAAGAUCAUCUUGUUAAGUUUGCUCAUUUCACAGAUGGAGGAACUAAAGUUCAGCAUCUAGAUAGGAAAGCCGUUUAAUAUUUUAAAAUUAGUAUAGCUGUUAAAGCUGAGGCUAGCUGAGCAGUUAGUAAUUUCCUUGAUUUUUAAAAUUUACUAUAGUAGCUCAUGAUGGGGAGUGGCUUUAACAGCCCAAGGAAUGGAAUGCAAUGAGAUUAUUAUAAUCAAAGGGACAUAAAGGGGUCAAAAAAUUUCUGAGGGAGCCUCACCACUUUCUCGUGCAUACUGCAUCACUUUCAUUUCUAGCAUGUUACUGUUGUUAAUUGCUAUUGUUUCUGUAUCACAACUGAAUGAUGUAUACAUGACAGCAUUAUUGUAAGUGUAGGCAACUAUUGUUAAUUUUAAAAUAGCCACAAGUCUGGAAAUAGUUAUUUUUUUCAACAAAUAGUUCAAAUAUAUUACAAUUUUUCUCUUUCCAUCCUACCUUCUUUUUGCACACACUUUAUCCAGCCAGCCAGCCAGCUGCUUAUCCAUUCAUUUAUCUGCUACCAAUAAGCUUAUCUUUAGUGAUACUCUUUAUUGCCAAAUAUUAAAUUUCACCUAAUAUGUUACAUUAAUUAUGUUGUAAUUAAUCUAGUUAUCAUAUUCUAAUUUUUACUGAAAUAUUAGGAAAGAAACUUAAAUAAAACUUUACAUGACUCUAGAUUUUUAUUGCUUAGACAUUUCUUUCUCCACAACUCUUUCCCACACAUGUACACAUUCUACUAACAGAAAAAUGCCUCUGCCAGCAACUAGACAUUUCCCAGGAAGUCUCUUCACUUAUUGUAUCCUUUUAAUAGCCUUCUCCUAGUUGCCUUUGAUUCCUCCCCAACCUCCAUCUAACCCAUAGCAGCGUAGACUAUGACCAAAAAGAUUAUUCCUGAACAGCCUGCAGAUUCAUUCAUGAAAGGUCCUUUCCAGAUUCCUUAAUAAUUAAUCAUGCUGCAUACCUCUCCCCAUGCCCAAAAGCCAGUUUUUGACCUUGAGUAAUAUAAUAAGGACAAAAGCAGGUAUCACUUCCUAACUCCUAACUUAGAAAACUCUCUUCAUCUCAUUAUCUAUCCUGGGAAUGCUACAUCUUUAACUCAUAUCAAAGGGGUUAAAAAUAUUUACAAAGCUGAUUAUAGGUUAAUAAUAGAUAUAGCCUCCUCUCAUUGUAUGAUUACAGUUCCCAUCCCCAUAAAAACUUUCAUUCCAUAAUAAAGUAUAUUUAUCUUUGACAGUUUCAUCUUGUGAUUUUAUAUUAUUUGAGGGGUAUCUUGACAUUUAGUGAUAUCAAUCAGUCACUCAUUAAUACUGUAAAAAGCCAAAUAAAUCCUUGUGCUAGAGAUGUUUUGACAACAAGGAGACCUCUUAGAUUGACAUCUAUCAUUAGCAAGACCCAGAUCAAAUGCAUGGAAAUAAAGAGUUCUAAUACUACUCUUGACUCUACAAGUAUUACAAAAUGAACACAGAUCUUCACUAGAUAAUCCUUCAAUUUGAUAAGGAAUUUCAGGGUGUUAGAGAACUGUAAAAGAAUGUUCCACAGAGAUAUGCAAAGAGGACUAUAAAGCAAGACAGUUUUAAAAAUUUCUGACUUCACUCUAUAUUCUGGGUGCCCAGUAUAGUUUACCCUCACAUCUCUUUGAAUAGCUAUUUGUCAGUACUCAAGUUUAGUAAUGAGUAAUGAGGCACUUUUCUUGUCCUGUCCCUCACUCUGCAACUUUAUUGAGCACACCUAAGUCAUAUCACUUUUCUGAACAUGGAUUCCAUUGUUUGUUAAUUAAGGUGGUUCGAGAGAUUAGUUUUAAGGCCCUUUCCAGCUGAUGUUCUAUGAAGUUUAGUUUAUUGUGUCUUCUAAUUAAAACAUGCCAUCAAAUAACAAUUAUUACAAUAAAGUAAUUUCUAAAUGUUUCCUUUUUCCUCAUACAUUUUAAACACACAGAAAUUAUCUUUCACCCACUCAGAAGAAGGGGAAAGAUCUGUAUCUGUGUAAUUUGCUGUCUCGGUGUACCAUGGGAUUUGAAACAUUCAGUGAUGAUUUUAAGUUUAAUUCAAGUAGAAGCAUUUAUUGUUUCUUGGGGGUUUCAAGAUUAACAACUUACUGUUCAUGAUCUUUUUGUUUAUAGAACCAUUGUGACCUAAAUCUUAUCAGUUUAAUAAAUUAAAUUGUAAUUGCUAAACUUGCAAAUAGAUUUUUUGAGGCUACAGAAAAGUAAUGUAAAAAAUCAAUUUCAGGACAUUAAAGAUGCAGAAAGCUGAAAUAGUGGAGAUGUCUUGAACUGUCAGAAUCACAAGUAGUGGCAGCUUUAGGGUGGAAACCCAAGCCCAAGAAAUAGAAAGUAUACAUCUUUAAUGUGCUUUUUAGAUUCCUAAUUCACAUAGACUUCCUGAUAGACUCAUCACCUAAGUCUUUAAAAGACAAAAAUUCCAAAUUGCACUUUAUUUCAAGAUAAUCUCUUAUUUUCCUCUUAGCUUUCUCACAUUUAUCAUGUUCCCAUUGCUAAGAGUAAUUUACUUUAUUACUGAAGAAUUGCUGGCGCAUUGGUAAAAUUAAGCAAUGGCAGGACGACAUUCAUUCAUUCAAUCUUUAUUCAGCUAAUAUUUAUUAAAUUAUUCCAGUGAGUGACAUGCUACCUUGCACUCUGGAGAUACAAUGGUGAGCAAAAUAGACAUGGCCCGUUCCUUCCCUAAUGGACCUACAGUCAGCCAAGUAAAAUCACACUAACGACUUAUACAAAGUGAAUGCUCAAGAAAAAGAAGAGAACUUGGAUCCAAAAUCUUAAAGUCUAGGUACUCAAAUGUACUCAGAGAAUACUAAACCAGACCAAACGAAGACAAACAAAAGCUCUGACCUAGAGGAGAGGGUCAAGAAGGCAUUCCACGGGAAUAAUACUUUCUUUAAUCUGAAGGGUGAGUAGAUAUUGUCAAAGCAUAGCAGAAAAAGGAGUUGUGAGGAAGAGUAUUUCAGGAGGGAAAGAUAUCUGAAGUGUAUCUGAAGGAGAGAGGAUGGUGGAAUGGAGGGACUGAAAGCAAACAGGGAAUGUGGGAGACACACUGGAGGAGGCAGAAGAGACAAGCAGAGACAGAUCACACAGGACUGUGUUAUUUCUCCUAAAAACAAUGAAAGGACCUUUGAAAGGUUUUAGGCCUGAGGCUGGCAAGAUCAGAUUUGCUGUUCACAAAGAUGGCUCUGGCUGCUGAAUAGAGAGUAAGCCAGAAAGCACUGGAGAGGCUGGGGUAGGACCAGUUGAAAGGCAUGAAUCUAUGUGAGAGAUGGUGCUAGUUGGAUAAGCGUGGUGGCAGACCAGCAGUUCAAGAGUGCAGUGAGCUAUGAUCACAUCACAGCAAUCCAGGUUGCAGGACAGAGCAAGACCCUAUCUUUAAAAAAGGUAAAAUAAAAAAUAAAGAGUGGUGGCAGAAUAGGUAGAGAGAAGUAGAUAGAUUCAGGGAAGGAUGCAGGCAGUAAAACCAAUAGACAUAAAUAUUGACCUAUAAAUUCAUCCAUUUCAUGAAAACAUAGAAAGCAUGAUUGACUAAUUAAAAAACUAACAAACCCUUCACAGAAAAGCAUGUUUUUUUCAUAUUUAUUUAUUUAUUUAUUUUUGAGACAGAGUCUUGCUCUGUCAUCCAGGCUGGAGUGCAGUGGCGCAAUCUCUGCUCACUGCAAGCUCCGCCUCCUUGGUUCAUGCCAUUCUCCUUCUUCAGCCUCUCGAGUAGCUGGGACUACAGGCGCCCACCACCACACCCAGCUAAUUUUUUGUAUUUUUAGUAGAGACAAGGUUUCACUGUGUUAGCCAGUAUGGUCUCGAUCUCCUGAUCUUGUGAUCCACCUGCCUGGGCCUCCCAAAGUGCUGGGAUUGCAGGCAUGAACCACUGCUCCCGGCUAUUCAUCUUUAUAUUCCUUCUUUUCCCUUAGUACAGUGUCUGGCUAAUAGUAGGCAUUUAAAUGUAGACCAAAUUGAAGAAAAAAAAAGAAGAAUGACAAUUAACUUAUUUUAUAGAAACUCUGUUUUUACUUUUUAAAACAAUGUGUAGCUAAAGCAGAGUAAAAUAUAGAUGAAAGAAAAAGAAAGAUGGAGAGAGAAUGGGACAUGGUUACAAGAAAAGGAAUAAUUAAAACUCGCAUGUAUGAAGCACUCACUACAGGCCUGACACCUUUCUGAAACCUCUGCAUGUGUUAAUUCAUUUAAACUUUGCAAAAACUUAUGAUAUAGGUUAUAUUCCCUUACUCAUUUUACAGAUGAGGAAACUGAGACACAGAAAGCAUAAGUGGUUUUCCCCAGGUUAAAAACUAUACAGUAGAGUAAAACAAAGUUGCAGUCUCAGGCAGAAAGGCUCCAGAACAACCCGUGCACCAUCCUGUUUCUCAUAAAAGGAAGAAAACAUAAACAGAUUCAUGCUGUGAUAAAAGGCUUGAAGAGGAAACAAAAUAGUUUGGAAUGGGUGUGGAGGAACCAAAAGAAAAAGAUGCCAGGAGAGGGAUAUGGAGGGACAAAAUUUGUCAGACAAGGAAAUAGAGUUAGGAGGGUUCAUGCUGGUGGAGUUAGAGAGUUUAGCACCCAGUUGUAAAUGAGAACAGAGGAGUCCAACAGUAGCGGCUUGGAGUAGGGCCUGGAUUAGGAGCAGAUACAGGCUAAGAGAGUAUGUUUUCUUUCUCUUUUUAAAAUUAUUGUUGUUCUUUUGGGGGAUGUGGGAGUCUUGGGCUUGGCUCUAGGAAUAGUUUGGCUCUAGGAAUAGUUUGGCCCCAAGCUGUCAUAAAGGCAAGCAGAGGGCUCACCACUUACUAGCUGUGAGACCUUAAGUGAGUGACAACCUCUCUGUGCCAGAGAGUCUUCACCAGGAAUGUAGGGGUAAUCAUAUUUACCUUCCAGAGUUGCUGGAAGAAUUAGUGAAAAUGGAUGUAGAAUGUUCAGAAUGGAGUAGGCCAUCCGUAAAUGACAGCUAGUGUAAUAACCUUCAACACAUAUUUGAGUGAGCAUUGUGCUGCCCUUUGCUCUAAUCAGCCCUUUGCACCAUACUUACAAGUAUUCCUGAGAGGGUCAAAGAGCUUCAUAGAGUUUGGGAAGCAGCAGUAGUUAAGAAUUUCCUUACUUUCUACUGAUAGGCCUGAAAUAUAGAAAGAGAAAAAAAAAAGAAUUCGUACUGUGAAAUCGGAUAGAUAUGUUCAAAUUCCAGCUCCACCAUUAACAGCUCUGUAGCCUUGGAAAAUUACUUCACUUCUUGGAAUCUCAUUCUUUAUCCGUAAAAUGAUGAUUCACACCUACCUCACAGGAUGACUCUGGGGAUUAAAUGAAGGAGUACAUAUAAAAUGCCUGGCAGUGUCCUGACAGAUAGUAUGUCCUCCAUAAGUGAUAACUAUCAUUAUUGUCAUAAUUAUCAGAAACACCAGAAACCCUAUAAUGUGGCUAUUAUGUGGAGAGAGAGAUAAUUAGACCCAGAGGGGGAAAGGAACUUGAGAAAACCCUUGGGAGACUGUGGAUGCAGGCAUUUACAGGAUGUCUUCAGUAUCAAAACUGAUGUGGAGAUAAUGCCCUGUGUGGAAGUUUCAAAUAAACUGUCCUCUGAAGAGUCCUGGGGUCUGGCAGAGGGAUGGCAGGAGGAGGGAUGGGGAGUGCAGGAGGAGACAACCUGGCCCCUGGCCCCAGUCCCACUCCAGCCAAAGCAACCUUUAUUUGUUUUUCAUGUUUGGUCUUGGAUACAUGAAGCAAGGAUCUUACCACCAAAAAACAGUUUUAAAGCUGUUUAUCAGAAGGCAAGAAAUGCUCUUCAGAUUAAGGUAUUUGUGUGUUUAGGAUGAAAAAAGCUGUAAGCUCAGUUAUUUUUCCACUAGAAUGUAAACUCCAUGAGAGCAUCACGUUUUAUCUGUCUUGCUCACGGCCGUGUCCGAAGUGCCUAGAGAAGCACCCAGCACAGAGUGGGCACUCAGUACAUAUUUGUGGAAUGAACUAAUGCACCAAACAAAUGACCAUACCUUGCAGUUUCUCUUUGAACUAUAGGUAGCAAAGUAAAUUCAUCCCCACUGAAAUGCUUGUUGGGAGUUCUGUUAGUUAACUAGAGCUUCCAAAUAUUGACCUUCAAUGCUGAAAAAAUAGCCAUUCUAUGGGAGCAGAUUUUCUUUGCUUCCAAGAAUGAUUCUGACACUGCUGCUGACCAGGUUAGCUAAAGACAAACACACACUCAGUUUUACUUUGGUUGUUUGGUGCAUGAAAGCAAAAGAUUAAGCAAACAAAUAAGCAUAUCUCCUAAUGAUCUUAAUAGUGGCAUUGAGAAUUUGAAAAUAGAGUCUUGGAAACAGUAAUUGAAAUAUAAAAUAUUAACUAGCACAAGUAUAAGACUUUGCAGUUUACAAAGCACUCUCAUGUGUGUUUCUUAUUGAAUCUACAGAACAACUCCAAGAGGUAAAUAGACUGGUGGUAUUAUCACCAUUCUAAUUUCGUAGAUAAGAGAAGUAAAGCUCAGUGAAGUUAAGUGACUCACUCAAGGUCACACAACUAGUAAAUACUAUGAGCCAAACUUGCACCCAGAUGCUCUGAUUCCAUUUCUUGUGCUCUUUCUUCAGCAUCAUACUCUAAUUAGUUUUACUAUCCAAAUAGUAACUAAAUGGAGCAUAGAAUUAUCAUGCUUUCCAUAAGUUUGCUAAACAUAUUUUGAGAAAACUUAUUUGCCUGUUUGAUGAAUGAAUGCUUGGUGGUAUAUUAACUUUAUUUUUAAUGCUAACAUAAUACGUGGGUUCAAAAAUCAAAAUAAUAUUAAAAUGUGUACACUGAGAAGUCACAUAUCAUCUUCAUCUCCAUUGAUCCCAAUUUCUUCUUGCCCCUAUUAGUAGCCAGUUAAAUUAAUGAUAAACUUAUCUAAAUAAAAUCUGAAACUAAGACCAUAGAGGAAUACAGGUAAAUCUUAUUGGUAUUAUUUUAAAGAAGAAAAAAAUGCUUAACAGGAGAAUGUGUAAUGGCCUGGGAGUUAAGGAAUGAAACAUUGUGAUUUCUUAGUUGGCUUACCACUGACACCUGCUCUUCAUGCCUAAAGAUAUUUUCCCAAAUCAGAAAUAAUUUUAUAGCAUUAGAUAUUCCUUUCUUCCUUUCUUCCUUCCUUUCUUUCUCUCUUUUCUUUCUUUCUCUUUCUUUUCUUUCUUUCUGUCUUUUUUCCUUCCUUCCUUCCUUCCUUCCUUCUUCCCUCCUUCCUUCUUUCUUUCUUCCCUUCCCCUUCCCCUUCUCCUUCCUUCCUUCCUUCCUCCCUCCCUCCCUCUCUUUUCUUUUCUUUUUUCUUUUCUUUUGUUCUCUUUUCUUUUUUCUUUUCUUUUGUUCUCUUUUCUUUUUUAUUGAGACCGGGUCUUGCCCUGUCAUCCAGGCUGGAGUGCAGUGGUGCAAUCUUGGCUGACUGCAACUUCCACCUCCUAGGCUCAAGGGAUCCUCCCACCCCAGCCUCCCAGGUAGCUGGGACCACAGGUGCACAGCACCACGCCCAGCCAAUUUUUUUCUAUUUUUGGUAGCAACGGGAUUUCACUAUGUUGCCCAGGCUGGCCUCAACCUCCUGAGCUCAAGCGAUCUGCCCACCUCAGCCUCCCAAAGUGCUAGGAUUACAGGCAUGAGCCACCGCACCUGGCCUAGAUUUUUCUUUCAGUGUGACUAUCAUAAUAACCAAUGUGCUGUAGAUUGCCAAGGGAUCACAAGUUACAAAAGAAAUCUCCAUGCAAUUGUACUUCAUUAACUGGUGCGAUUUUCUAGAAAAAAAAUGGAACACAAUAAUCUUUGAAGAGGUUACUGGCAUCUAAAGGGAUAUGAAAUCAAGGUUAAAACCACCCCAUUCCCUUGGAAAUAUGUGCAAAAAUUAACCAGUUUCAUAUCAUAGACAUCUUCCUAUAAAGAUAUUUAUAAUCCUUCUUCAUUAUGCAAUAGUCAAUGCAUAAAUACCUCUGUUGAAGGUCACUCAGAAGAACUGAUUUUAUAAACGAUUGAUUUCUUAGUAAUAGAAAUAAUCAUACCCCAUUUAUCCAAGUUUUUAAUAUAAUCAUGCACCACAUAAUAAUGUUUGAGUUAAUAAUGGAUCACAUAUACAAUAGUGGUCUUAUAAGAUUAUAAUACCAUAUGUUUAUAGUACUUUUUAUAUGUUUAGAUACACAAAUACUUACUGUUGUGUUACAGUUGCCUAGAGUAUUCAGUACAGUAACAGUAACAUGCUGUACAUAUUUGUAGCCCAGGAGCAAGAGGCCAUACCACACAGCCUAGUUGUCUAUUAGGCUAUACCAUCUAGGUUCAUGUAAGUGCACUCUGAGAUGUUCCCAUGACAGGCAAUCACCAAAAGACAUAAUUACCAUCGUUAAGCAACACACUGCUGUAUUUUUAUUUCUUUUAAAUAUUUGAAUUUCCUACAAAAAAGAAAAAGAAGUAUUUGAAUUAUUUAAAAAUAGGCAUUAUUCAUUGUGGGAGAUUUUCCCAGUAUGCAAAAGAAGGAGUAGUAGAGUUUUAGAGACAAUUCCCCGCUGUUGUAUAUUUAGUAACGAGCAGCAGAAACACAGAGCGUUCUAAAAGAAACACAAUUAUCUAUAGAAUUGCAGACAAAUAGUUGCUUUAGGUAACUAUUAGUGAGAAAUAAUAAAAGUAGUGUGUUUACACAAUCAUUAUCAAAACAAAGCUGAAACAAACUCCAAAGAAAUGAAGAUGUGAAGAUUAUUGGGAGGGGUGCGGGAGGCAGAAGGACGUGCUGAGAAAAUUGCUGAGGAAAAUCAAAUGUUUUCAACUUGGAUAGUUCUAUUUAUCAUUAGGAACGCAUUUUUCCCUCCUUCUAAAAGAUUCAAGAGAAAACGUUUUUAAUAGUCCGCUGACAUAUGGAUGUUUAAUUUUCUUAUCGAAAGCAAAAAAAUUGGAUUUUCUUAUUAAUCUCUUAUUUGUUCAUUUUGUGAUUGUUGAUGUUGAAAUAUUAAGGAUACAUUAUUGUAAUUUUUUCUCAUAAUUUGUAUUUUCCAUCUUUGACUUUCUUAACUAUAAACCAAAAAUAAAAAGUAAAAUUUUACAGAAAGCCUGAGAGUACAGAACAAGCUAUAAAGAAAAUCAAGUAUAAUAUCUAGCUUUAAAGCAUAAUGUAUAUUAUUUUAUGAAACAAGAGCUGGUCUUUAGAAGAAAAAAAAUAAGUGCACUUAUCAAGCAUUUACUAUAUGUCAGGCAGUUUUCUUAGGCACUUUUCAUCUAAAUUUAUACGUCCAAAUAUAUGUCUCCUCUUAUCAUCCUCUCCCCAGCUAUACCUCUCCUUGAAUGUUUACUCAAAUGACACCAAAUUGCUCAUCAUUCACCCAACAAGCCUUGAUGUUUCAUCCUCUGGGGCUUAGUAAUUAUAUUCUGCCCAGAAUUCCCUUUUUCCUUUGCCUACUCAACACACCUUUACUUUCUUUUUUUUUUUUAAUUAAAAAACGUUUUAAUUGGUUUCCAAAGGAGGCUAUAGACUACAUUGAAACUAAUCUUUGUACAAAAGCCCCCCAAAAAAAAAAAAAACACAACACCAAA
Symphalangus syndactylus (siamang) is the source of this 18273-nucleotide RNA transcript. It is a transcript of the gene named discs large MAGUK scaffold protein 2, with no coding region annotated. The record is from RefSeq and is a predicted model, not a curated record. NCBI's taxonomy places the organism in Eukaryota, Metazoa, Chordata, Mammalia, Primates, Hylobatidae.